AAGUCGUAACAAGGUCUCCGUAGGUGAACCUGCGGAGGGAUCAUUCACAUGAUAUACUUGAAACAAACUGUGAACUUUAUAAAUACUAUUCGUGUUUUUUAUCAGUUUUACUGUAUAAUAAACAUCGUCAUUCGAUUGAACAUAAGAUAGUUGGCUUGAAAUGUAACAAUUUCUUUCUCAGCUUUGAUUUGAUAGAACUCAACAUUUUAUCACUUCAACAAUAAAACAUAGAAACAACUCUAUGCCCUGGAUAUCUUGGUUCUC
Molecule: unclassified non-coding RNA, 264 nt
Filed under: fungal sp.
Lineage: Eukaryota; Fungi
Description: partial internal transcribed spacer region
Rfam family: Eukaryotic small subunit ribosomal RNA (bases 1-46)
Source: RNAcentral